RNAcentral lists this ribosomal RNA (260 nucleotides) under uncultured bacterium. RNAcentral describes it as "partial 16S ribosomal RNA". It matches the Rfam family "Bacterial small subunit ribosomal RNA", at positions 793 to 1055 of the family's 1533-position model. The record is from RNAcentral.
GUCCACGCCGUAAACGAUGUCUACUAGCCGUUGGGUUCCUUGAGGACUUAGUGGCGCAGCUAACGCAAUAAGUAGACCGCCUGGGGAGUACGGUCGCAAGAUUAAAACUCAAAUGAAUUGACGGGGGCCCGCACAAGCGGUGGAGCAUGUGGUUUAAUUCGACGCAACGCGAAGAACCUUACCAGGUCUUGACAUAUACAGGAAUAUGGCAGAGAUGUCAUAGCCGCAAGGUCUGUAUACAGGUGGUGCAUGGUUGUCGU